AGGAUCAUUACCGAGUGAGGGCCCUCUGGGUCCAACCUCCCCACCCGUGUCUAUCGUACCUUGUUGCUUCGGCGGGCCCGCCGUUUCGACGGCCGCCGGGGAGGCCUCGCGCCCCCGGGCCCGCGCCCGCCGAAGACCCCAACAUGAACUCUGUUCUGAAAGUAUGCAGUCUGAGUUGAUUAUCAUAAUCAGUUAAAACUUUCAACAACGGAUCUCUUGGUUCCGGCAUCGAUGAAGAACGCAGCGAAAUGCGAUAAGUAAUGUGAAUUGCAGAAUUCAGUGAAUCAUCGAGUCUUUGAACGCACAUUGCGCCCCCUGGUAUUCCGGGGGGCAUGCCUGUCCGAGCGUCAUUGCUGCCCUCAAGCACGGCUUGUGUGUUGGGCCCCCGUCCCCGGUUUCCCCCGGGGACGGGCCCGAAAGGCAGCGGCGGCACCGCGUCCGGUCCUCGAGCGUAUGGGGCUUUGUCACCCGCUCUGUAGGCCCGGCCGGCGCCAGCCGACACCCAACUUUAUUUCUAAGGUUGACCUCGGAUCAGGUAGGGAUACCCGCUGAACUUAAGCAUAUCAAUAAGCCGGAAGAAUCAUUACCGAGUGAGGGCCCUCUGGGUCAACCUCCCACCGGGUCUAUCGUACCUUGUUUGCUUCGGCGGGCCCCCUUUUUCAACGCCGCGGAAAACUCCUCCCCGGGCCGCGCCGCCGAAGACCCAACAUGAACUCUGUUUCUGAAAAGAUAUGCCGCUCUGGAGUUUGGAUUUAUUCAUAAACUCGGUUUUAAAAACUUUUCACAACGGGAAAUCUCUUUGGGUUUCCGGCCAUCCGAUUGAAAAAAAACGCCGCCGAAAAAUGGCGAAUUAAAGAUAAAUGGGGGAAAAUUUGGCAAAAAAUUUCGGGGGGAAAAACCCCCGAAGCUUCUUUUUAAAACCCCACAUUGGGCCCCCCCGGGGGGAAUUUUCCGGGGGGGGGGGGAGGGGCUUGUUCCCAAAAAACCUUUUUUUUGUUUUCCCCCCAAAAACAGGGUUUUUUUUUGUUUUUUUUUUGGGGGGCCCCCCCC
RNAcentral lists this ribosomal RNA (1050 nucleotides) under Aspergillus aureolus. RNAcentral's name for it is "partial 18S ribosomal RNA". The stretch from base 197 to 350 matches the Rfam family "5.8S ribosomal RNA". Lineage: Eukaryota; Fungi; Ascomycota; Eurotiomycetes; Eurotiales; Aspergillaceae. The record is from RNAcentral.